AUACGGAGGGUGCAAGCGUUAUUCGGAAUCACUGGGCGUAAAGGACGCGUAGGCGGGUUGGCAAGUCAGAUGUGAAAUCCUACAGCUUAACUGUAGAACUGCAUUUGAAACUGCUAACCUAGAGUAUGGGAGGGGGAGAUGGAAUUAGUGGUGUGGGGGUAAAAUCCGUAGAUAUCACUAGGAAUACCGAAAGCGAAGGCGAUCUCCUGGAACAUAACUGACGCUAAGGCGUGAAAGCGUGGGGAGCAAACAGGAUUAGAUACCCUUGUAGUCC
RNAcentral lists this ribosomal RNA (274 nucleotides) under uncultured bacterium. Its description in RNAcentral is "partial 16S ribosomal RNA". It matches the Rfam family "Bacterial small subunit ribosomal RNA", at positions 523 to 796 of the family's 1533-position model. The record is from RNAcentral.